RNAcentral lists this ribosomal RNA (468 nucleotides) under uncultured bacterium. Its description in RNAcentral is "bacterial SSU rRNA". It matches the Rfam family "Bacterial small subunit ribosomal RNA", at positions 328 to 793 of the family's 1533-position model. The record is from RNAcentral.
GGCCCAGACUCCUACGGGAGGCAGCAGUGAGGAAUAUUGGUCAAUGGGCGCGAGCCUGAACCAGCCAAGUCGCGUGAGGGAAGACGGUCCUAUGGCUUGUAAACCUCUUUUGUCGGGGAGCAAAGAGGCCACGUGUGGUCAAAAGCGAGAGUACCCGAAGAAAAAGCAUCGGCUAACUCCGUGCCAGCAGCCGCGGUAAUACGGAGGAUGCGAGCGUUAUCCGGAUUUAUUGGGUUUAAAGGGUGCGUAGGCGGGACGGUAAGUCAGCGGUAAAAAUGGGGAGCUCAACGCCGUCGGGCCGUUGAAACUGCCGUUCUUGAGUGAGCGAGAAGUAUGCGGAAUGCGUGGUGUAGCGGUGAAAUGCAUAGAUAUCACGCAGAACUCCGAUUGCGAAGGCAGCAUACCGGCGCUCAACUGACGCUGAAGCACGAAGGCGUGGGUAUCGAACAGGAUUAGAUACCCCGGUAC